Molecule: transfer RNA, 72 nt
Filed under: bacterium
Lineage: Bacteria
Description: tRNA-Glu
Rfam family: tRNA
About the family: Transfer RNA (tRNA) molecules are approximately 80 nucleotides in length.
Source: RNAcentral
GCUCUCAUCGUCUAGUGGUCAGGACGCAUGGUUCUCAACCAUGCAACCCCGGUUCGACUCCGGUUGAGAGCG